This 1343-nucleotide ribosomal RNA is filed under the name uncultured bacterium. Its description in RNAcentral is "16S ribosomal RNA". It matches the Rfam family "Bacterial small subunit ribosomal RNA", at positions 28 to 1378 of the family's 1533-position model. The record is from RNAcentral.
GACGAACGCUGGCGGCGUGCUUAACGCAUGCUAGUCGAACGGAAAGGCCCUGCUUUUGUGGGGUGCUCGAGUGGCGAACGGGUGAGUAACACGUGAGUAACCUGCCCUUGACUUUGGGAUAACUUCAGGAAACUGGGGCUAAUACCGGAUAGGAGCUCCUGCUGCAUGGUGGGGGUUGGAAAGUUUCGGCGGUUGGGGAUGGACUCGCGGCUUAUCAGCUUGUUGGUGGGGUAGUGGCUUACCAAGGCUUUGACGGGUAGCCGGCCUGAGAGGGUGACCGGCCACAUUGGGACUGAGAUACGGCCCAGACUCCUACGGGAGGCAGCAGUGGGGAAUAUUGCACAAUGGGCGGAAGCCUGAUGCAGCAACGCCGCGUGCGGGAUGACGGCCUUCGGGUUGUAAACCGCUUUCGCCUGUGACGAAGCGUGAGUGACGGUAAUGGGUAAAGAAGCACCGGCUAACUACGUGCCAGCAGCCGCGGUGAUACGUAGGGUGCGAGCGUUGUCCGGAUUUAUUGGGCGUAAAGGGCUCGUAGGUGGUUGAUCGCGUCGGAAGUGUAAUCUUGGGGCUUAACCCUGAGCGUGCUUUCGAUACGGGUUGACUUGAGGAAGGUAGGGGAGAAUGGAAUUCCUGGUGGAGCGGUGGAAUGCGCAGAUAUCAGGAGGAACACCAGUGGCGAAGGCGGUUCUCUGGGCCUUUCCUGACGCUGAGGAGCGAAAGCGUGGGGAGCGAACAGGCUUAGAUACCCUGGUAGUCCACGCUGUAAACGGUGGGUACUAGGUGUGGGGUCCAUUCCACGGGUUCCGUGCCGUAGCUAACGCUUUAAGUACCCCGCCUGGGGAGUACGGCCGCAAGGCUAAAACUCAAAGGAAUUGACGGGGCCCCGCACAAGCGGCGGAGCAUGCGGAUUAAUUCGAUGCAACGCGUAGAACCUUACCUGGGUUUGACAUGGAUCGGGAGUGCUCAGAGAUGGGUGUGCCUCUUUUGGGGUCGGUUCACAGGUGGUGCAUGGCUGUCGUCAGCUCGUGUCGUGAGAUGUUGGGUUAAGUCCCGCAACGAGCGCAACCCUUGUUCACUGUUGCCAGCACGUUAUGGUGGGGACUCAGUGGAGACCGCCGGGGUCAACUCGGAGGAAGGUGGGGAUGACGUCAAGUCAUCAUGCCCCUUAUGUCCAGGGCUUCACGCAUGCUACAAUGGCUGGUACAGAGAGUGGCGAGCCUGUGAGGGUGAGCGAAUCUCGGAAAGCCGGUCUCAGUUCGGAUUGGGGUCUGCAACUCGACCUCAUGAAGUCGGAGUCGCUAGUAAUCGCAGAUCAGCAACGCUGCGGUGAAUACGUUCCCGGG